Molecule: ribosomal RNA, 253 nt
Filed under: uncultured bacterium
Lineage: Bacteria
Description: partial 16S ribosomal RNA
Rfam family: Bacterial small subunit ribosomal RNA
Source: RNAcentral
UACGUAGGGGGCAAGCGUUGUCCGGAAUUACUGGGCGUAAAGCGCCUGUAGGCGGGAACGUGCGUCGGACGUGAAAGGCGGGGGCUCAACCCCCGAGCGGCGUUCGAAACGGCGUUUCUUGAGGGUCGAAGAGGAGCGUGGAAUUCCCGGUGUAGCGGUGAAAUGCGUAGAUAUCUGGAGGAAUACCGGUGGCGAAGGCGGCAUCCUGGACCGGCAUUGACGCUGAAGCGCGAAAGCUAGGGGAGCAAACGGG